CACAGAUACCGGCAUGUUUUUCUGUACCUCGUAUGUUUGUUAGCUCUUCUCCCUUUUUUUUAUGGAGAUUUCAGGCAUUUCCUGUGCGAAAAAACCGUACAAUUAUAUUCUUUAAUCACAAAUGAUUAAAUACACGUAUAAAAAAUGUGGUAUAACACAAAUGCCAAAAUCACUUAAAGUAAUCUACUCUUACAAAAACAAGG
Molecule: long non-coding RNA, 203 nt
Filed under: Mytilus galloprovincialis (Mediterranean mussel)
Lineage: Eukaryota; Metazoa; Mollusca; Bivalvia; Mytilida; Mytilidae
Source: RNAcentral